GCUGGCGUAGCUCAAUUGGUAGAGCGCCUGUUUUGUAAACAGGUGGUUGCAGGUUCAAGUCCCGUCGCUAGCU
RNAcentral lists this transfer RNA (73 nucleotides) under Deltaproteobacteria bacterium. Its description in RNAcentral is "tRNA-Thr". It matches the Rfam family "tRNA". Rfam says of the family: Transfer RNA (tRNA) molecules are approximately 80 nucleotides in length. Their secondary structure includes four short double-helical elements and three loops (D, anti-codon, and T loops). The record is from RNAcentral. Lineage: Bacteria; Pseudomonadati; Myxococcota; Myxococcia.